Long non-coding RNA from Mustela lutreola (European mink), 482 nucleotides. RefSeq lists it as uncharacterized. The record is from RefSeq and is a predicted model, not a curated record. The transcript is spliced from 3 exons. Lineage: Eukaryota; Metazoa; Chordata; Mammalia; Carnivora; Mustelidae.
GUGGCGGGCGCGGCAGGCGGGUCCAGGUAGGCUCCCGGGAGAGCCUGGCGGGGCGGGAAUCUGGGCGACGAGGGGACCCCGCAGCGCCUCCGUUGUCCUCAGGAGCUUGCUUUUUGGUGACUCCACGAUGCGGACCCAGUAAAGGAAAAGGGAGGACGUCUUGCUUCUGGAGCCAAGGUUCUCUACCGUUGUCGGCUCACGGCCUGAGAAACCCUUGGACGCGUGUCCACGUCCGCAGAGAAAGCCCGUUUGGAAGAAAACUAAGACGGGUCCUAGAUUCCAUCAGGGUCCAAAUUGAGAAGCUCCACCCAGCCUGGAAAAUCCCAUCACCACUCUAAACAAGGUUCAUCGCUGGCGAGGAAUUUUGCUUCAGGAUGAACAUACCACAAAUCUCACCUGUAAUUCAUUAAGAUGAUGGCCCCGUGUGAGACUUUGGACUUGAGACUCUGCAGUUGAUGGUGGAAUGAGUUAGGAAUUUGGGG